RNAcentral lists this ribosomal RNA (740 nucleotides) under uncultured archaeon. RNAcentral describes it as "bacterial SSU rRNA". It matches the Rfam family "Archaeal small subunit ribosomal RNA", at positions 1 to 750 of the family's 1478-position model. The record is from RNAcentral.
UUCCGGUUGAUCCUGCCGGACCCGACUGCUAUCAGAGUGGGACUAAGCCAUGCGAGUCAACAUAGCAAUAUGUGGCAUACGGCUCAGUAACACGUAGUCAACAUGCCCAGGGGACGUGGAUAACCUCGGGAAACUGAGGAUAAACCGCGAUAAGUCACUGCUUCUGGAAUGGGCAAUGACUUAAAUCUAUAUGGCCCCUGGAUUGGACUGCGGCCGAUCAGGCUGUUGGUGAGGUAAUGGCCCACCAAACCUGUAACCGGUACGGGCUCUGAGAGGAGGAGCCCGGAGAUGGGCACUGAGACAAGGGCCCAGGCCCUAUGGGGCGCAGCAGGCGCGAAACCUCUGCAAUAGGCGAAAGCCUGACAGGGUUACUCUGAGUGAUUUCCGUUAAGGAGAUCUUUUGGCACCUCUAAAAAUGGUGCAGAAUAAGGGGUGGGCAAGUCUGGUGUCAGCCGCCGCGGUAAUACCAGCACCCCGAGUGGUCGGGACGUUUAUUGGGCCUAAAGCAUCCGUAGCCGGUUCCGCAAGUCUUCCGUUAAAUCCACCUGCUUAACAGAUGGGCUGCGGAAGAUACUAUAGAGCUAGGAGGCGGGAGAGGCAAGCGGUACUCGAUGGGUAGGGGUAAAAUCCGUUGAUCCAUUGAAGACCACCAGUGGCGAAGGCGGCUUGCCAGAAUGCGCUCCACGGCGAGGGAUGAAAGCUGGGGGAGCAAACCGGAUUAGAUACCCGGGUAGUCCCAG